Molecule: long non-coding RNA, 273 nt
Filed under: Populus tremula
Lineage: Eukaryota; Viridiplantae; Streptophyta; Magnoliopsida; Malpighiales; Salicaceae
Description: long non-coding RNA (PTRE_LNC002678)
Source: RNAcentral
GAGGUACUACGGUACUGGAUUUUAAUGCUUAUGUCUUCUGUCAUACUUAUUGUUUUUAAUGUGGGAUUAUGAUUUAUGUACUUUACUUCAACGACAAACCUAAGCCAUAAAAAAACAGUCUUGAGUUUGAGUUUAAUGUGAAAGACCUGCUACAGUGAAUUUCAGGACAUAUCCAAGCCAAGGUAUCAAACUCUAGCAAAGAGAAAAAAACUAAUUAUUUUUUGGGGAUAAAGAAUGCUAAAUGCUUUUAUUUAACAUGUGCUUUGCUUUCAG